RNAcentral lists this transfer RNA (72 nucleotides) under Cavia porcellus (domestic guinea pig). It matches the Rfam family "tRNA". Rfam says of the family: Transfer RNA (tRNA) molecules are approximately 80 nucleotides in length. Their secondary structure includes four short double-helical elements and three loops (D, anti-codon, and T loops). The record is from Rfam by way of RNAcentral. Lineage: Eukaryota; Metazoa; Chordata; Mammalia; Rodentia; Caviidae.
UUUAACAUAGCUCAGCAGUGCUGCAUCUGCCUGGCAAGCACAAUGUCCUGAGUUCAAUUCUCAGUACCAAAA